This 600-nucleotide ribosomal RNA is filed under the name Enterobacter cloacae. RNAcentral's name for it is "bacterial SSU rRNA". It matches the Rfam family "Bacterial small subunit ribosomal RNA", at positions 88 to 684 of the family's 1533-position model. The record is from RNAcentral. Lineage: Bacteria; Pseudomonadati; Pseudomonadota; Gammaproteobacteria; Enterobacterales; Enterobacteriaceae.
CUGACGAGUGGCGGACGGGUGAGUAAUGUCUGGGAAACUGCCUGAUGGAGGGGGAUAACUACUGGAAACGGUAGCUAAUACCGCAUAACGUCGCAAGACCAAAGAGGGGGACCUUCGGGCCUCUUGCCAUCGGAUGUGCCCAGAUGGGAUUAGCUAGUAGGUGGGGUAACGGCUCACCUAGGCGACGAUCCCUAGCUGGUCUGAGAGGAUGACCAGCCACACUGGAACUGAGACACGGUCCAGACUCCUACGGGAGGCAGCAGUGGGGAAUAUUGCACAAUGGGCGCAAGCCUGAUGCAGCCAUGCCGCGUGUAUGAAGAAGGCCUUCGGGUUGUAAAGUACUUUCAGCGGGGAGGAAGGGAGUAAAGUUAAUACCUUUGCUCAUUGACGUUACCCGCANAAGAAGCACCGGCUAACUCCGUGCCAGCAGCCGCGGUAAUACGGAGGGUGCAAGCGUUAAUCGGAAUUACUGGGCGUAAAGCGCACGCAGGCGGUUUGUUAAGUCAGAUGUGAAAUCCCCGGGCUCAACCUGGGAACUGCAUCUGAUACUGGCAAGCUUGAGUCUCGUAGAGGGGGGUAGAAUUCCAGGUGUAGCGGUGA